AUUCACUUUACUCUCUGUUGGAAGAUCAAUGACUAUCCCUCGUAAUUUCAUUUGGAUACCUAUUUGGAAGUUCAUUUGACUCCAAUGGGUCACCUGUACAGCAAGAGCAAGAACAAGAUCAACUGACUGUCUAUUGAAGGUUCAUUUGUUUACAUUCUGGGAUGAUCAUUUGACUGUCUUUCGAAAGGUCAAUUAACUGUCUGUUGGAAAUUCAAUUGACAAUCUUUCAGAAGGUCAACUGCGUAUCUGUCGGACGUUGAUUCAAUAACCUUAUUAGGAAGCUCAAUUGAAUGUCUCGUAGAAGGUGAAUUAACUGUCUGUCGGAAGGUUGAUGAGUCCUUGUCGGUAAUGAGCGAGUUGACGUUUGACACAGUCCUGUACGCGCCAUUUCAUACUCCAUAGCAUAUUCUUUUAUGUACGAACACUUGUCCAUUCUUAAGCUUAGGAAACGCAGCUACUCAGUGACGUGUGUCCUUAAUCGCUAGUUAUUUAUUAUUAUUAUUAUUGUCAUUAUUAUUAUUAUUAUUAUUAUUAUUAUUAUUAUUGAUGUGUUGGUAUAUGACUUUAACCUUUCCUCCUCUCUCCUUGUUUCCUCCUUUCUUUAGCCCACUUAAAUAUUUACUCAUUCAAUUUUUCCUUGUAGUUUUCCUUGUAGUUUUCCGCUUUCCUUUCCGUUGCUCCACAUAUAUCUCUUUUUUUUCCUUCUUCAUCUCUUCUUAAUCAUCGUCUCUUUUCCUAUCUUCUCUUCUAUCUUCUUUUAUCUUUUCUUAGCUUUAUUUCCUGGUUAUCCUUCUCUUCCUCCUCCUUUCUCUUUCUCCACUCCUUUCUUCCUUCUAUCUUCUUUUAUCUCUUCUUUGAUUUCUUUCUCUUCCUUCUUCUUCCACCUCCUUUCUUUCCUUCCAUUCUCUUUCUCCAUUCUUCCUUCUAUCUUCUUUUAUCUCUUCUUUGAUUUCUUUCUCUUCCUUCUUCUUCCUCUUCCUUUCUUUUCUUCCAUUCUCGUUUUCCACUUUCCUUCACUUCUUUCUUAGCCUCCCUGACCUAUCCUCUUUUUCCAUCAUCUCCUUUUUUCCCUGUCUUUUCUCCUACCUUCCUUUCUUCCUUUAUUCUCCCUUCUCUUCCUUCUUCCUUCUUUCCUUCCAUUCUCUUCUUGGGACUUUGCUUUUCUUCAUUUUCCUCUUUUUUUCCUUUUUUCCUUCUGUCCUCUUAAAUUUAUUCCUUUCUUUCUCUUCUUUUCUCUUUCUUCCCUAUCCUUCCUCUCUUCCUUCUUUACUUUCAUUUUCUUUCUCUCAAUACUUGUCUUUUCUUCCUUCCUUCCUUCCUUACCUUCUCUGCCCUAUCCGCUGUUUGCUUAUUCCAUCAUUUAUCCAUCAAUUCAGUGUGCUUCCUCUCCCUCCCCCAUUCCAUUCCUUCAUUCCAAGCAUUCCUUUUAUUCAAUUCUCCAUUCCUUCCCUCUUCUUCCCCUUCCUAUCCAUUCCUGUCCUUAUUCCAAUUCUUUCCUUCUUUAUUUUCUUUCCCUUCCUUCCUUCCUCCCACCUGUCUUUCCAUUCAUUUCCAUUCUUUUUUCUUUCCCUUUUAUUCCAUUUCCUCCUUUCUUUCCCUUCUGCCUUCCAUCUGUUCAUUCUUCCACCCCUUCUUCCCUCUCUCCCUUCCCUCCCUCCCUCCCUUCCUCCCAUCCUUCCCUCCCUCUCUUCCUCCCUUCCUUCCCUCCCUCUCUCCUUCCUUCCCUCAAAUCGCUGUAAUAUUAACGAGACGUGCCUGUAGAACUGUAUUAUAAUGAUGUUAAUUAUUAUUAUAUAACAUUAUUACUCAAUUCUUAAUAAUGAAAAAAUAAUUAAGCAACAAGAUUGACUACCAUAUCCUAUUACCCUUCCCAAUUACCCACCUAUUUGCCUGCCUUCCUAUGUACCUAUCCCUUGUACUAGUGUGUGUGUGUGUGUGUGUGAGAGAGAGAGAGAGAGAGAGAGAGAGAGAGAGAGAGAGAGAGAGAUUCCGUGCUCAAAAAAUGCAGAACGGAAUGAGAAAAGCUGAUUAAGUUAAUUCUAAGACAAAAGAAAAGGUAGAAAAAAACAUUAUUUGAAUCUACUAGACUUAAUGAUAUUUAAACUUCUGUCACUACUACUACUACUACUAUUUCUACUACUAUCUGAACAUUCAAAAUAAUAAUACUAAUAAAUAUGAUUACAACGACAAUGAAAAUUUGAGGAGAGGAAAGAAAAGAAAAAAUAUAUAUAAGUUUGUGUUGAUGUUUAGGCCCAAGAAUGUGUGUGUGUGUGUGUGUGUGUGUGUGUGUGUGUGUGUGUGUGUGUGUGUACAGACAGACGGACAGACAGACGCCCCGCCCAUCCCUUCCUUUUUGUAAGCAGUGAUCAUGUUAUCGAAAGAAAAAAAAGUGAAAUAAACAGGGAAAGUACA
Eriocheir sinensis (Chinese mitten crab) is the source of this 2412-nucleotide long non-coding RNA. RefSeq lists it as uncharacterized. Lineage: Eukaryota; Metazoa; Arthropoda; Malacostraca; Decapoda; Varunidae. The transcript is spliced from 2 exons. The record is from RefSeq and is a predicted model, not a curated record.